AUUCAACUGAUAAGUUUCAAAUAGGGCGAAAUGCACGUCCUGAAU
Molecule: non-coding RNA, 45 nt
Filed under: Schistosoma mansoni
Lineage: Eukaryota; Metazoa; Platyhelminthes; Trematoda; Strigeidida; Schistosomatidae
Source: RNAcentral